GGUUAAGCGACUAAGCGUACACGGUGGAUGCCCUGGCAGUCAGAGGCGAUGAAGGACGUGCUAAUCUGCGAUAAGCGUCGGUGAGGUGAUAUGAACCGUUAUAACCGGCGAUUUCCGAAUGGGGAAACCCAGUGUGUUUCGACACACUAUCAUUAACUGAAUCCAUAGGUUAAUGAGGCGAACCGGGGGAACUGAAACAUCUAAGUACCCCGAGGAAAAGAAAUCAACCGAGAUUCCCCCAGUAGCGGCGAGCGAACGGGGAGGAGCCCAGAGUCUGAAUCAGUGUGUGUGUUAGUGGAAGCGUCUGGAAAGGCGCGCGAUACAGGGUGACAGCCCCGUACACAAAAAUGCACAUAUUGUGAGCUCGAUGAGUAGGGCGGGACACGUGGUAUCCUGUCUGAAUAUGGGGGGACCAUCCUCCAAGGCUAAAUACUCCUGACUGACCGAUAGUGAACCAGUACCGUGAGGGAAAGGCGAAAAGAACCCCGGCGAGGGGAGUGAAAAAGAACCUGAAACCGUGUACGUACAAGCAGUGGGAGCCUCUUAAUGGGGUGACUGCGUACCUUUUGUAUAAUGGGUCAGCGACUUAUAUUCUGUAGCAAGGUUAACCGAAUAGGGGAGCCGAAGGGAAACCGAGUCUUAACUGGGCGUUAAGUUGCAGGGUAUAGACCCGAAACCCGGUGAUCUAGCCAUGGGCAGGUUGAAGGUUGGGUAACACUAACUGGAGGACCGAACCGACUAAUGUUGAAAAAUUAGCGGAUGACUUGUGGCUGGGGGUGAAAGGCCAAUCAAACCGGGAGAUAGCUGGUUCUCCCCGAAAGCUAUUUAGGUAGCGCCUCGUGAAUUCAUCUCCGGGGGUAGAGCACUGUUUCGGCAAGGGGGUCAUCCCGACUUACCAACCCGAUGCAAACUGCGAAUACCGGAGAAUGUUAUCACGGGAGACACACGGCGGGUGCUAACGUCCGUCGUGAAGAGGGAAACAACCCAGACCGCCAGCUAAGGUCCCAAAGUCAUGGUUAAGUGGGAAACGAUGUGGGAAGGCCCAGACAGCCAGGAUGUUGGCUUAGAAGCAGCCAUCAUUUAAAGAAAGCGUAAUAGCUCACUGGUCGAGUCGGCCUGCGCGGAAGAUGUAACGGGGCUAAACCAUGCACCGAAGCUGCGGCAGCGACACUAUGUGUUGUUGGGUAGGGGAGCGUUCUGUAAGCCUGUGAAGGUGUGCUGUGAGGCAUGCUGGAGGUAUCAGAAGUGCGAAUGCUGACAUAAGUAACGAUAAAGCGGGUGAAAAGCCCGCUCGCCGGAAGACCAAGGGUUCCUGUCCAACGUUAAUCGGGGCAGGGUGAGUCGACCCCUAAGGCGAGGCCGAAAGGCGUAGUCGAUGGGAAACAGGUUAAUAUUCCUGUACUUGGUGUUACUGCGAAGGGGGGACGGAGAAGGCUAUGUUGGCCGGGCGACGGUUGUCCCGGUUUAAGCGUGUAGGCUGGUUUUCCAGGCAAAUCCGGAAAACCAAGGCUGAGGCGUGAUGACGAGGCACUACGGUGCUGAAGCGACAAAUGCCCUGCUUCCAGGAAAAGCCUCUAAGCAUCAGGUAACAUCAAAUCGUACCCCAAACCGACACAGGUGGUCAGGUAGAGAAUACCAAGGCGCUUGAGAGAACUCGGGUGAAGGAACUAGGCAAAAUGGUGCCGUAACUUCGGGAGAAGGCACGCUGAUAUGUAGGUGAAGCGACUUGCUCGUGGAGCUGAAAUCAGUCGAAGAUACCAGCUGGCUGCAACUGUUUAUUAAAAACACAGCACUGUGCAAACACGAAAGUGGACGUAUACGGUGUGACGCCUGCCCGGUGCCGGAAGGUUAAUUGAUGGGGUUAGCGGUAACGCGAAGCUCUUGAUCGAAGCCCCGGUAAACGGCGGCCGUAACUAUAACGGUCCUAAGGUAGCGAAAUUCCUUGUCGGGUAAGUUCCGACCUGCACGAAUGGCGUAAUGAUGGCCAGGCUGUCUCCACCCGAGACUCAGUGAAAUUGAACUCGCUGUGAAGAUGCAGUGUACCCGCGGCAAGACGGAAAGACCCCGUGAACCUUUACUAUAGCUUGACACUGAACAUUGAGCCUUGAUGUGUAGGAUAGGUGGGAGGCUUUGAAGUGUGGACGCCAGUCUGCAUGGAGCCGACCUUGAAAUACCACCCUUUAAUGUUUGAUGUUCUAACGUGGGCCCCUAAUCGGGGUUGCGGACAGUGUCUGGUGGGUAGUUUGACUGGGGCGGUCUCCUCCUAAAGAGUAACGGAGGAGCACGAAGGUUGGCUAAUCCUGGUCGGACAUCAGGAGGUUAGUGCAAUGGCAUAAGCCAGCUUGACUGCGAGCGUGACGGCGCGAGCAGGUGCGAAAGCAGGUCAUAGUGAUCCGGUGGUUCUGAAUGGAAGGGCCAUCGCUCAACGGAUAAAAGGUACUCCGGGGAUAACAGGCUGAUACCGCCCAAGAGUUCAUAUCGACGGCGGUGUUUGGCACCUCGAUGUCGGCUCAUCACAUCCUGGGGCUGAAGUAGGUCCCAAGGGUAUGGCUGUUCGCCAUUUAAAGUGGUACGCGAGCUGGGUUUAGAACGUCGUGAGACAGUUCGGUCCCUAUCUGCCGUGGGCGCUGGAGAACUGAGGGGGGCUGCUCCUAGUACGAGAGGACCGGAGUGGACGCAUCACUGGUGUUCGGGUUGUCAUGCCAAUGGCACUGCCCGGUAGCUAAAUGCGGAAGAGAUAAGUGCUGAAAGCAUCUAAGCACGAAACUUGCCCCGAGAUGAGUUCUCCCUGACUCCUUGAGAGUCCUGAAGGAACGUUGAAGACGACGACGUUGAUAGGCCGGGUGUGUAAGCGCAGCGAUGCGUUGAGCUAACCGGUACUAAUGAACCGUGAGG
This 2895-nucleotide ribosomal RNA is filed under the name Escherichia coli. RNAcentral describes it as "partial 23S ribosomal RNA". It matches the Rfam family "Bacterial large subunit ribosomal RNA". The record is from RNAcentral. Lineage: Bacteria; Pseudomonadati; Pseudomonadota; Gammaproteobacteria; Enterobacterales; Enterobacteriaceae.